GGUAGUCCACGCCGUAAACGAUGUCGACUUGGAGGUUGUGCCCUUGAGGCGUGGCUUCCGGAGCUAACGCGUUAAGUCGACCGCCUGGGGAGUACGGCCGCAAGGUUAAAACUCAAAUGAAUUGACGGGGGCCCGCACAAGCGGUGGGGCAUGUGGUUUAAUUCGAUGCAACGCGAAGAACCUUACCUACUCUUGACAUCCAGAGAACUUUCCAGAGAUGGAUUGGUGCCUUCGGGAACUCUGAGACAGGUGCUGCAUGGCUGUCGUCAGCUCGUGUUGUGAAAUGUUGGGUUAAGUCCCGCAACGAGCGCAACCCUUAUCCUUUGUUGCCAGCGGUUAGGCCGGGAACUCAAAGGAGACUGCCAGUGAUAAACUGGAGGAAGGUGGGGAUGACGUCAAGUCAUCAUGGCCCUUACGAGUAGGGCUACACACGUGCUACAAUGGCGCAUACAAAGAGAAGCGACCUCGCGAGAGCAAGCGGACCUCAUAAAGUGCGUCGUAGUCCGGAUUGGAGUCUGCAACUCGACUCCAUGAAGUCGGAAUCGCUAGUAAUCGUAGAUCAGAAUGCUACGGUGAAUACGUUCCCGGGCCUUGUACACACCGCCCGUCACACCAUGGGAGUGGGUUGCAAAAGAAGUAGGUAGCUUAACCUUCGGGAGGGCGCUUACCACUUUGUGAUUCAUGACUGGGGUGAAGUCGUAACAAGGUAACCGUAGGGGAACCCUGC
RNAcentral lists this ribosomal RNA (727 nucleotides) under uncultured bacterium. Its description in RNAcentral is "bacterial SSU rRNA". It matches the Rfam family "Bacterial small subunit ribosomal RNA", at positions 789 to 1515 of the family's 1533-position model. The record is from RNAcentral.